Molecule: ribosomal RNA, 497 nt
Filed under: uncultured bacterium
Lineage: Bacteria
Description: partial 16S ribosomal RNA
Rfam family: Bacterial small subunit ribosomal RNA
Source: RNAcentral
GAUGAACGCUGGCGGCGUGCCUAAUACAUGCAAGUCGAGCGAACAGAUGAGGAGCUUGCUCCUCUGACGUUAGCGGCGGACGGGUGAGUAACACGUGGAUAACCUACCUAUAAGACUGGGAUAACUACGGGAAACCGGGGCUAAUACCGGAUAAUAUAUUGAACCGCAUGGUUCAAUAGUGAAAGACGGUUUUGCUGUCACUUAUAGAUGGAUCCGCGCCGCAUUAGCUAGUUGGUAAGGUAACGGCUUACCAAGGCAACGAUGCGUAGCCGACCUGAGAGGGUGAUCGGCCACACUGGAACUGAGACACGGUCCAGACUCCUACGGGAGGCAGCAGUAGGGAAUCUUCCGCAAUGGGCGAAAGCCUGACGGAGCAACGCCGCGUGAGUGAUGAAGGUCUUCGGAUCGUAAAACUCUGUUAUUAGGGAAGAACAAAUGUGUAAGUAACUAUGCACGUCUUGACGGUACCUAAUCAGAAAGCCACGGCUAACUACGUG